This 244-nucleotide ribosomal RNA is filed under the name uncultured bacterium. RNAcentral's name for it is "partial 16S ribosomal RNA". It matches the Rfam family "Bacterial small subunit ribosomal RNA", at positions 15 to 255 of the family's 1533-position model. The record is from RNAcentral.
GAUCCUGGCUCAGGAUGAACGCUAGCGGCAGGCCUAACACAUGCAAGUCGAGGGGCAGCACGGUGUAGCAAUACACUGGUGGCGACCGGCGCACGGGUGCAUAACGCGUAUGCAACCUACCCAUAACAGGGGGAUAACACUGAGAAAUUGGUACUAAUACCCCAUAACAUCAGGACCGGCAUCGGUUCUGGUUGAAAACUCCGGUGGUUAUGGAUGGGCAUGCGUUGUAUUAGCUGGUUGGUGG